This 157-nucleotide small RNA is filed under the name Duncaniella dubosii. RNAcentral describes it as "Bacteroidales-1 6S-Bacteroidales RNA suggested". It matches the Rfam family "Bacteroidales-1 6S-Bacteroidales RNA suggested", at positions 15 to 162 of the family's 179-position model. The record is from RNAcentral. Lineage: Bacteria; Pseudomonadati; Bacteroidota; Bacteroidia; Bacteroidales; Muribaculaceae.
ACGAUUGGGAAACUCAUCAAUUAUUUUUGAAAUACCGAGACAAGCUUCGUCGCCCAAUGGCGGGCCUCAUUCCUCUUCGGAGGAAGGCAUAAUUGCCCGGAGGAUUACAAAGGACGGCAAGCACUCAAAUCCUGUCAUUCGGAGUUUCAUCAUCUUC